GAGGGUCUAACGGCGUUCUCCCGGCGGCGGUCAUUUUGGUGACAGUGGGUCGGCCUGCUUGAUACGGUUCUGCAGCUCUUGGUCCGGCUCGAGGUUUCCAUGGCUUCAGAAGCACUUAUGAGCAAUGCAUAGGCCUCUCACUGUUGUAGCCUCUCCCGUUGCGGAGCACAGGCUCCGGACAUGCAGGCUCCGCGGCAUGUGGGAUCUUCCUGGACCGGGGCACAAACCUGUGUCCCCUGCAUCGGCAGGUGGACUCUCAACCACUGCGCCACCAGGGAAGCCCUAACGUGAUGUUUUGAUUACCUUCAAUACCCCAGUACUGAUCAUCAUGUUGGAGGAGAUGCAUUGGUGAAAAGAGACCUGUAUUCUUUCAGUAAGUUUCAAUCAAGUGCUUGCUGACAAAUAAUAAACAAACCAUAGUGAAUUACCAUAGGUGUAACAAAAAUUGAUGAGUGUUGGGUGAAUAAUUAAAAUAGGAUG
Long non-coding RNA from Physeter macrocephalus (sperm whale), 480 nucleotides. RefSeq lists it as uncharacterized. The record is from RefSeq and is a predicted model, not a curated record. NCBI's taxonomy places the organism in Eukaryota, Metazoa, Chordata, Mammalia, Artiodactyla, Physeteridae. The transcript has 4 exons.